Molecule: long non-coding RNA, 2411 nt
Filed under: Ananas comosus (pineapple)
Lineage: Eukaryota; Viridiplantae; Streptophyta; Magnoliopsida; Poales; Bromeliaceae
Description: long non-coding RNA (ACOM_LNC022884)
Source: RNAcentral
GGGAUUAUAUAUAUAUCACUACAACAAAAACGGUCUAUAGUGACAUUUUUAAAUAUCGGUAUAGGUCAAAAAAAGUACUACUAGCUAAAUUACCGACACUUUUGAAAAGUGUUGCUAUAUGUGGAGUCGCUAGGUAUAUAGUGACAAUUAAAUGAUGUCGCUAUAACCUCAAAAGAGUGUUGCUAAUUUACCAACACUUAUUUAAGUAUUUAGCAACCGCCAGAACUCUAUCUCGUUGGCUCCGGUGGCGGAGGAGGAGGAGAGGGGAGGGCUAUUCGUCUAGGAUGUCAGUGGAUUGAGUGAGGGAAGAAUAGGAGAUGGUAAUCGAUUUUUCUUUUUUUUUUCUUUUCUGCUUGUAAUCGGGUCGAAUGGGCUGGGUGGGGUGGGUUGAGUAGAGUAACCUUUUAUUUUUAGUUUGAUUGGGCUUUAUAUUUAGACAUUAGUAGAUUUUUUAAAAAAAUUUUGGCAUAAAUGGGACACUUACACAAAAGUGUCACAAACAUGUGUCCCUAUAACCUAAUUUUGUUGUAGUGUAUAUAUAGUAGGUCUUGUGUGUUAUUAGGAGUAUGGAGGCUUCUGUGCUACUAAGCCGUUUUCGAUGAUGGAGCUUCCGAAUCGACGAUCAGCUUCGUUAGAUUUGAUCUAGCGUAUUUGAAGUAUCUAGAAAAUAAAUUGUGGUUUUUCGAUAUUAUUUACCUAGUGAUCGAAAGGGUUCAAAAUCAACAAUUUUUAAUGAUUGAUGUAUAUCAUUUACAAGUUUAACAAUGUAAAAGUAAUUAAAUCAUAUGAAAUUUUGAUAGAAAAUUCUUUAUACUAUAUACUUCAAGAUCAAUAUCUCUGAUCGAAAAUUUUAAAGUUAUAUCACCACUUUUUAUAAGAAUUUUAUUUUUUAGCCGUUGAUUUUAAACCCUUUCAAUUGCAAGGUAAAUGAUAUCGAAAAACCGCAAAAUUUAUUUUCUAAAUACUUACGCUAGAUUAAGUUUAACGGAGCUGAUUGUCGAUUCAGAAGCUCCAUUAUCGAAAACGGCUUAAGAACAUGAAGGUUUCCGUGCUCCUAAGAGCACACAAGACCUACUAUAUAUAUAUAUAUAUAUAUAUAUAUAUAUAUAUAUAUAUAGUCCAGCUAUGGUGCUUGUAAAAGCACCAAGCAUUUAGUGCUUGUAAGUUUUUUACCGUUAGAUCUAUUUCUCGGAUCAUUUUCAACCAUUAGAUUAUACUAUUCAACCAACCACCCACUCAACCCUAGGGGGCCCACAUCAUCCUAACCGUAUAUUUCUUAAUCCAAUGGCUAAAAAUUUACAAGCACCAAUAACUUGGUACUUUUAAAAGUAUAGGAGCUCAAUUCUAUAUAUAUAUAUAUAUAGAGAGAGAGAGAGAGAGAGAGUUAGGUUGGAAUACUAUUGAUAAUACAAAGCGCUUGGUGCUAUUAGGUUUUUGACCCUUUAAUGAAAAAAUGUACGGUUACGAUGAUGUGGGCGCCAUAGGGUUGAGUGGGUUAUUGAUUGAAUAGUAUAAUCUAACGGAUAAAAAUAAUCAAAAGGUUAAAUCUAACGGCAGAAAACUUCGUAGUACCAAACGCUUGGUGUUAUCAAUAGUAUUCCAGCCGGACUAUAUAGAUAUAUCUCUCUCAUAUAUAUAUAUAUAUAGAGAGAGAGAGAGAGAGAGAGAGAGAGAGAGAGUAGGUUUUGUGUGCUAUUAGAAGCUCGGAGGCCUUCGUGCUCCUAGACCGUUUUCGAUUAUAAGACUUUCAAAUAUACGAUCGGUUCCGUUAGACUUGAUCUAGCGCAUUUGAAGUAUUUAGAAAAUAAAUUUUGUAAUUUUUUGUUGAAACUUUAGUACUAUAUAUAUAGAAUAGGUCUUGUGUGCUGUUAGGAGUACGAAGGCCUCCAUACUCCUAAGCCGUUUUCGAUGAUGUUGCUUUCGAAUUAACGAUCGGCUCCAUUAGACUUGAUCUAGCAUAUUUGAAGUAUUUAGAAAAUAAAUUUUAUGAUUUUUCGAAGGUUUAAAAUCAAUAGCUGAAAAUAAAAAUAUCACAAAAAAUAGUGUUAUAGCACUAAAAUAUUUUAAUCAGGGAUAUUGAUCUUGCACUAAAUGGUAUAAAGGAUUUUCUAUCAAAAUAUUAUCUGAUUUGAAUAUUUUUAUACCGUUAAACUUGCAAACGAUAUACAUCAAUCAUUAAAAAUUGUUGAUUUUGAAUCCAUUCGAUCGCUAGGUAAAUAAUAUCGAAAAAUUGCAAAAUUUACUAUCUAGAUACUUCAAAUACGUUAAAUCAAAUCUAACGGAGUCGAUCAUUAAUUUGGAAACAUUAUCAUCAAAAACCGCUUAGAAGCACGGAGGCCUCCGUGUUUCUAAUAACACACAAGAUCGUACUCUCUCUCUCUCUCUCUCUCUCUCUCUCUCUCUCUAUAUAU